RNAcentral lists this ribosomal RNA (497 nucleotides) under uncultured bacterium. RNAcentral's name for it is "partial 16S ribosomal RNA". It matches the Rfam family "Bacterial small subunit ribosomal RNA", at positions 28 to 507 of the family's 1533-position model. The record is from RNAcentral.
GAUGAACGCUGGCGGCGUGCCUAAUACAUGCAAGUCGAGCGAACAGACGAGGAGCUUGCUCCUCUGACGUUAGCGGCGGACGGGUGAGUAACACGUGGAUAACCUACCUAUAAGACUGGGAUAACUUCGGGAAACCGGAGCUAAUACCGGAUAAUAUAUUGAACCGCAUGGUUCAAUAGUGAAAGACGGUUUUGCUGUCACUUAUAGAUGGAUCCGCGCCGCAUUAGCUAGUUGGUAAGGUAACGGCUUACCAAGGCGACGAUGCGUAGCCGACCUGAGAGGGUGAUCGGCCACACUGGAACUGAGACACGGUCCAGACUCCUACGGGAGGCAGCAGUAGGGAAUCUUCCGCAAUGGGCGAAAGCCUGACGGAGCAACGCCGCGUGAGUGAUGAAGGUCUUCGGAUCGUAAAACUCUGUUAUUAGGGAAGAACAAAUGUAUAAGUAACUAUGCACGUCUUGACGGUACCUAAUCAGAAAGCCACGGCUAACUACGUG